This 222-nucleotide long non-coding RNA is filed under the name Elaeis guineensis (African oil palm). Its description in RNAcentral is "long non-coding RNA (EGUI_LNC026658)". The record is from RNAcentral. Lineage: Eukaryota; Viridiplantae; Streptophyta; Magnoliopsida; Arecales; Arecaceae.
AUAAAAAACCCACCCAUACUUUUUGUUCUCAAUAGUGCGUGGACCUAACACUUUGUUUUUGGACCUUUGUCAUGAAACAUGCUCGUUGAGAGCGCAUGGACCAGUGUCCUAAUGCUGGCUACUAUCAUGACCACGGUCCAUGUAACCAUUAAUUAUGGUGGAUGACUAAUGAGAUGGCAGGUGGUGGUGGGUGGCCGGUGAUUUUGCCCAAAAUUAGCACAC